GCCAGGCAUGGUGGCUCACACCUGUAAUCCCAGCAGCUUGGGAGGCUGAGGCAGGAGGAUCAUGAGUUCAAAGCCAGCCUCAGCAACAUUGAGGCACUCAGCAAGUCAGUGAGACUCUGUCUCUA
Molecule: small RNA, 125 nt
Filed under: Marmota monax (woodchuck)
Lineage: Eukaryota; Metazoa; Chordata; Mammalia; Rodentia; Sciuridae
Source: RNAcentral